RNAcentral lists this small RNA (881 nucleotides) under Pan troglodytes (chimpanzee). RNAcentral describes it as "retained intron". The record is from RNAcentral. Lineage: Eukaryota; Metazoa; Chordata; Mammalia; Primates; Hominidae.
AGAGUAGGAGGCUGUUGUUUAAUGUUGCCUAAUGCCAACGUUAGAGCUCCAGGGAUUGACGUGUUUGCUGACUGCUCAAAGUCUAUUUCAACACGAAUUUCUGGGUCCGAGUGAGUAUUAAAUAACUGCCUUGCUUUUUUGUCAUAGGAUUUUGGCAUUAGAGAAGCUCGGUGCUGUCUUCAAUCAAGUAGCCUUCCCACUGCAGUACACACCCAGGAAAUUUGUCAUCCACCCUGAGAGUAACAACCUUAUUAUCAUUGAAACGGACCACAAUGCCUACACUGAGGCCACGAAAGCUCAGAGAAAGCAGCAGAUGGCAGAGGAAAUGGUGGAAGCAGCAGGGGAGGAUGAGCGGGAGCUGGCCGCAGAGAUGGCAGCAGCAUUCCUCAAUGAAAACCUCCCUGAAUCCAUCUUUGGAGCUCCCAAGGCUGGCAAUGGGCAGUGGGCCUCUGUGAUCCGAGUGAUGAAUCCCAUUCAGGGGAACACACUGGACCUUGUCCAGCUGGAACAGAAUGAGGCAGCUUUUAGUGUGGCUGUGUGCAGGUUUUCCAACACUGGUGAAGACUGGUAUGUGCUGGUGGGUGUGGCCAAGGACCUGAUACUAAACCCCCGAUCUGUGGCAGGGGGCUUCGUCUAUACUUACAAGCUUGUGAACAAUGGGGAAAAACUGGAGUUUUUGCACAAGGUAGGAAUCUGCCAGUGGUUCUCCUAGAUUUUAAGUCCCAUUGAAUUCUCUCACUUUUGCUUAUGUUAUGGAUCAGGUCUUUUGGGGACUAGCUCCUUGAUUCCAAUCUCUCUCUUACCAGCACAUGGAAAACGCUGGGGCCUUCUAGCUGCAGUGAUGUUCUUGUGCCUGUGCAUUCCACAGGAAGGCUUUGUGC